Molecule: non-coding RNA, 53 nt
Organism: Pseudomonas sp. MF4836
Lineage: Bacteria; Pseudomonadati; Pseudomonadota; Gammaproteobacteria; Pseudomonadales; Pseudomonadaceae
Source: Rfam
CUGGCGAGUAGAAGCGGUUAGUGCCAGCGAUGGCAUAGGACAUUGCUCUUGCG